CCUACGGGAGGCAGCAGUGGGGAAUAUUGGGCAAUGGGCGCAAGCCUGACCCAGCAACGCCGCGUGAAGGAAGAAGGCUUUCGGGUUGUAAACUUCUAUCGUCAGGGAAGAGUAGAAGACGGUACCUGACGAAUAAGCCACGGCUAACUACGUGCACGCAGCCGCGGUUAUGCGUAGGUGGCAAGCGGUGUCCGGAUUUACUGGGUGUAAAGGGCGUGUAGCCGGGUCGACAAGUCAGAUGUGAAAUCCUGCGGCUUAACCGCAGAACUGCAUUUGAAACUGUUGAUCUUGAGAACUGGGGAGGCAGACGGAAUUCCUAGGGUAGCGGUGAAAUGCG
RNAcentral lists this ribosomal RNA (337 nucleotides) under uncultured bacterium. Its description in RNAcentral is "partial 16S ribosomal RNA". It matches the Rfam family "Bacterial small subunit ribosomal RNA", at positions 338 to 690 of the family's 1533-position model. The record is from RNAcentral.